Molecule: long non-coding RNA, 1368 nt
Organism: Oncorhynchus tshawytscha (Chinook salmon)
Lineage: Eukaryota; Metazoa; Chordata; Actinopteri; Salmoniformes; Salmonidae
Source: Ensembl
GUCAAAUAUAUGAACGCAUUAGCAAACAGGACUGGCUCCUGCUGGAGGGAAAACUAUAACAAAAGAAUAUUUGUAGCUUGUUCUGUAAUCAUAAUAGGUAGAAUAGUGUAGUGGUGUAGUUUUAUUAACUCUAUAGUGUAAAAUAUAGUAGGCCUAUUCUGAUUUGGUGUGAGAGAGGGAUAGAGAGAGAGAGAGAGAGAGAGAGAGGUGAAAGGGGUAGCUAUAAGAAUUGUAUCACAUUUUAUGUUGUCAAUGAAAUAUUAUCAUCCUGUUGUUUUUCCUCAUUAUACUACUCUGCUAAAUUGAGGUUUCCUUUCAGAGAGCCAUGUCUUGACUAGACCGUGAAUGUUAUUGGAGUUGAGGACGAUUGUGGUUUUUCCGUAGCUCAAGUGAGAUUCAUUGAUUUCCUCAAGCUCCUUUCAUUGCCUUGACUUGUUUCUCCUCUUGCUUCCCACCCCCAGUAAAUCCUACCUUUUGAACUUUAUUGAUCAUUUGUCUUGGUUUGUCUCUCAAAUCCCCGUUAAUGUAAUGUGGGGCAGACUUGUUCCACCUGUCUCUUCUCUUUGCAGGCCUCGUUUUUCACUCUUUCUCCAUUUCUUUCUUCUUCUGUUAAGGCGCUCUCUUAGAACCUGUCUUUGAGCUUAUUCAAAUGAACUGUGCCUAACAACAGUAGCGGAGAUCAAAGCUAUUAAUUAUUAUCAAGAUCAUUAUAUAUUUCUUAUUGUUGUUACUAUUAUUAUUCGUGUAAAUAUGUUACCCAUAUUUACCACAAAAUCAACUUCUUUUUGCUAAGCAAUGCACUAAUGAAUCUGAAGAGAUUGUUCAUACCUGAGAUACCAUUUGUUAUUGGAUCGAUGCCUGGGGGUUGCUGACUAACGGCAUUGUUCCACAACUAAUGAAUAAAUCCUAGAGGUACAUCUGUGUGUGCUUAAUGUUUGUGGUCAGAUGUCUGGCACACACAAUCACACACACAAAACACACACAAACACAAUCACACACACACACUAGCACACACAUUCACACACACAAACACACCUACCACUGAUGUCAGGAACUUUUAGAGCUGAAGAGAUCAACAUGGCUAAACUAUAUUGAGAUGAAAUCCUGUUUGCACACUGGUGUAGAGAACGAAUAGCAUGACUGGAGACUGACAUACUCAGUAUCUUGGUAAUGCCCCCUGCUAUUGUGUUUUAAUCCAAAGCUCUGCUUAUUUAAAGCCAUAAGAAAUGUAGCAUUUCAAAGUGUGUGUGUGUGUGCGUGUGUGUGUGUGUGUGUGUGUAAUGGUGUUAAUGGGUGUUACUAUGUUUUGCGUGUGUGUGAACUGUGUGUAGUGUGUCGACCAGAAGACUCCACAAGAAUAGUACCAAA